Molecule: ribosomal RNA, 780 nt
Filed under: Herpotrichiellaceae sp. LM500
Lineage: Eukaryota; Fungi; Ascomycota; Eurotiomycetes; Chaetothyriales; Herpotrichiellaceae
Description: bacterial SSU rRNA
Rfam family: Eukaryotic small subunit ribosomal RNA (bases 1-348)
Source: RNAcentral
GCCGCACGCGCGCUACACUGACAGAGCCAGCGAGUAAAUCACCUUGGCCGAAAGGUCUGGGUAAUCUUGUUAAACUCUGUCGUGCUGGGGAUAGAGCAUUGCAAUUAUUGCUCUUCAACGAGGAAUGCCUAGUAAGCGCAAGUCAUCAGCUUGCGUUGAUUACGUCCCUGCCCUUUGUACACACCGCCCGUCGCUACUACCGAUUGAAUGGCUAAGUGAGGCCUCGGGACUGGCUCAGAGAGGUCGGCAACGACCACUCAGAGCUGGAAACUUGUUCAAACUUGGUCAUUUAGAGGAAGUAAAAGUCGUAACAAGGUCUUCGUAGGUGAACCUGCGGAGGGAUCAUUACCGAGUUAGGGUCCUCAUCGGGCCCGACCUCCCAACCCAUUGUUUAUGAUACCUAGUGUUGCUUCGGUAGGCCUGGUCUAUCUGUUAUAGACCUGCCGGGGGGCCGUAAGACGCCCGCCGGAGAGUGCCUACCGACAGCCUCAACUCCAAAAUUCUUUAACCAAACGUGUCUUUGUCUGAGUAACGUCUUUUAAAAUAAAGCAAAACUUUCAACAACGGAUCUCUUGGUUCUGGCAUCGAUGAAAAACGCAGCGAAAUGCGAUAAGUAAUGCGAAUUGCAGAAUUCUCGUGAGUCAUCGAAUCUUUGAACGCACAUUGCGCCCUUUGGUAUUCCGAAGGGCAUGCCUGUUCAACGUCAUUUUCCCCCUCAACCCCCGGCUUGUGUUGGAAGGUUGGUCCGGGGACUCAACCCCUGGACCCUCCCAAAAAUGA